RNAcentral lists this ribosomal RNA (433 nucleotides) under uncultured bacterium. RNAcentral describes it as "partial 16S ribosomal RNA". It matches the Rfam family "Bacterial small subunit ribosomal RNA", at positions 29 to 507 of the family's 1533-position model. The record is from RNAcentral.
AACGAACGCUGGCGGCAUGCCUAACACAUGCAAGUCGAACGAGACCUUCGGGUCUAGUGGCGCACGGGUUCGUAACGCGUGGGAACCUGCCCUUAUGUUCGGAAUAACUCUCCGAAAGGGGUGCUAAUACCGGAUAAUGUCUUCGGACCAAAGAUUUAUCGCCUUUGGAUGGGCCCGCGUUGGAUUAGCUAGUUGGUAGGGUAAAAGCCUACCAAGGCGACGAUCCAUAGCUGGUCUGAGAGGAUGAUCAGCCACACUGGGACUGAGACACGGCCCAGACUCCUACGGGAGGCAGCAGUGGGGAAUAUUGGAAAAUGGGCGAAAGCCUGAUCCAGCAAUGCCGCGUGAGUGAUGAAGGCCUUAGGGUUGUAAAGCUCUUUUACCCGGGAUGAUAAUGACAGUACCGGGAGAAUAAGCUCCGGCUAACUCCGUG